UACGUAGGGUGCGAGCGUUAAUCGGAAUUACUGGGCGUAAAGGGUGCGCAGGCGGUCUUGUAAGUCAGAUGUGAAAUCCCCGGGCUUAACCUGGGAACUGCGUUUGAAACUACAAGACUAGAGUGUAGCAGAGGGGGGUGGAAUUCCACGUGUAGCAGUGAAAUGCGUAGAGAUGUGGAAGAACACCGAUGGCGAAGGCAGCCCCCUGGGUUAACACUGACGCUCAGGCACGAAAGCGUGGGGAGCAAACAGGAUUAGAUACCCUGGUAGUCCACGCCCUAAACGAUGUCAACUAGUUGUCGGGUCUUUAUAGAUUUGGUAACGUAGCUAACGCGUGAAGUUGACCGCCUGGGG
This 354-nucleotide ribosomal RNA is filed under the name uncultured beta proteobacterium. RNAcentral describes it as "bacterial SSU rRNA". It matches the Rfam family "Bacterial small subunit ribosomal RNA", at positions 524 to 878 of the family's 1533-position model. The record is from RNAcentral. Lineage: Bacteria; Pseudomonadati; Pseudomonadota; Betaproteobacteria.